RNAcentral lists this ribosomal RNA (509 nucleotides) under uncultured bacterium. Its description in RNAcentral is "bacterial SSU rRNA". It matches the Rfam family "Bacterial small subunit ribosomal RNA", at positions 29 to 521 of the family's 1533-position model. The record is from RNAcentral.
AAUCAACGCUGGCGGCGUGCCUAACACAUGCAAGUCGAACGCGAGAGGGGCUUCGGCCCUGAUUGAGUGGCAAACGGGUGAGUAACGCGUGGGUGACCUACCUUCGAGUGGGGGAUAACGUUCCGAAAGGGACGCUAAUACCGCAUAACAUCCUGUCUUUGGACAGAUGGAGAUCAAAGCCGGGGAUCGUAAGACCUGGCGCUUGAGGAGGGGCCCGCGUCCGAUUAGCUAGUUGGUGGGGAAUGGCUCACCAAGGCAACGAUCGGUAGCCGGCCUGAGAGGGCGGACGGCCACACUGGGACUGAGACACGGCCCAGACUCCUACGGGAGGCAGCAGUGGGGAAUUUUGGGCAAUGGGCGAAAGCCUGACCCAGCAACGCCGCGUGAGGGAGGAAAUCCUUCGGGAUGUAAACCUCACAAGCAAGGGAAGAGAGCUCAGGGCCGAAUAAGCUUUGAGUCCGACGGUACCUUGCGUAAGCCACGGCUAACUACGUGCCAGCCGCCGCAGU